This is a long non-coding RNA of Melanotaenia boesemani (Boeseman's rainbowfish), 732 nucleotides long. RefSeq lists it as uncharacterized. NCBI's taxonomy places the organism in Eukaryota, Metazoa, Chordata, Actinopteri, Atheriniformes, Melanotaeniidae. The transcript is spliced from 3 exons. The record is from RefSeq and is a predicted model, not a curated record.
UUUAAGACAUAAUUUCACAUCUUUUAUUAACUUGCAGCCCUCAGUUCUCGGUGCACCAGCAGCAGAUGAGUGGUGACUUUUUAUUUUGUGUGAAUGCUUAGCUUGAACAUUGGUUCUGCUGCACAUUCAGAAAACGUUGGGACAAGAAUGAUUUUACCCCUUACUAAUGUUGCUUUUACUUCUCGCAUCAUGCGAUGAAGCAUGUUGUGUUCUUCCUGCAGAUAUAUUCCAUGCAGUGAUUAUCAGGACUUCAUAUGGGUCAGACCAGUAUCUGCACCCUCUUAUCUGCAGGCAUGCCUUUGUAAUGUGUGCAAGUCAUGGUCAUGGAUAAAGAAAUCGUCUCGAAGGCAGCAUAUGUAAUAAAAUUUCAAUUAUAACCUCAUUGAAUCACAGCGUCCGACUUUUAGACUGACAGCUGUCUGCAUGGUCCUUUUCAUCUAGCCCAGAACCCGAAUGGUCUAACAACACUCUUCCACUGUGAGGUCCAUCCCAGAAAAGUUGACGUCACCUCUGGACAAGGUUGACAUUAGGUUUAUUUUUUGCACAGUAAAGUUGAACCCUCAUAGGCGGCGAUAAUUCAGGUCAUCUGAGGAAAACAAAAGUCCCAAAAAUUGUUAUGAAAAAUGUCAAAAUAAUAUUAUUUCCACUUUUUUAUUGUCAGAUAUUUCAAUCAACUAUAGUCCCAACAAAAAAACAAAUAUCUAAUUAUUCAGAUAAAUUUUAACCCUUUAA